Molecule: small nucleolar RNA, 139 nt
Organism: Cavia aperea (Brazilian guinea pig)
Lineage: Eukaryota; Metazoa; Chordata; Mammalia; Rodentia; Caviidae
Source: Ensembl
CUUGAGGUUCACAGACCUCCAAAGUGUAUUCUAGCUGAACAUCACUGGAAAUGCCUCAUAAAGAAAUACUGUCAUUCUGCUUUACUCUUUACUCCAAGGACUAUCUGUUAGAUCUGUGGAAAGGAACUGCAAGACAGUU